Molecule: long non-coding RNA, 330 nt
Organism: Dromiciops gliroides (monito del monte)
Lineage: Eukaryota; Metazoa; Chordata; Mammalia; Microbiotheria; Microbiotheriidae
Exons: 3
Source: RefSeq, a predicted model, not a curated record
UAACUCUGGGAAAUCGCUUUGCCCUGGGAGCUUCCUUUUUGAGAUGAUGUCUCGCCUUUGUUAGUGAAGGAUAAAGAGGGAAGUGGCACCCACAGAAGAAAGAGAUGGGGUAGACCAAAAGCAAGAUGUCACCCACACCUCAAUUUCCCCGGCAGGAUUGGGGUAUACCAACCAAAGUCCAGGCAGAAUGACGUCUAAGCCAGAGAAACAACGCCAUGAUGACAAGAGCCAAGUGUUCAUCUGCUACCAGUUCAUCAUGGAAUUUCUGUUGAGGGUCAUGAAAAACACUUGGCUACUUCCUCCAGAUCGCACGGAUGCAAAAAAUACCUG